UACGUAGGGGGCGAGCGUUGUCCGGAAUUAUUGGGCGUAAAGAGCGUGUAGGCGGUUCGGUAAGUCUGCCGUGAAAACCUGGGGCUCAACCCUGGGCGUGCGGUGGAUACUGCCGGGCUAGAGGGUGGUAGAGGCGAGUGGAAUUCCCGGUGUAGCGGUGAAAUGCGCAGAUAUCGGGAGGAACACCCGUAGCGAAGGCGGCACUCUGGGCCGGUACUGACGCUGAGGAGCGAAAGCGUGGGGAGCAAACAGG
Molecule: ribosomal RNA, 253 nt
Filed under: uncultured bacterium
Lineage: Bacteria
Description: partial 16S ribosomal RNA
Rfam family: Bacterial small subunit ribosomal RNA
Source: RNAcentral